RNAcentral lists this ribosomal RNA (230 nucleotides) under uncultured bacterium. Its description in RNAcentral is "partial 16S ribosomal RNA". It matches the Rfam family "Bacterial small subunit ribosomal RNA", at positions 562 to 791 of the family's 1533-position model. The record is from RNAcentral.
AAAGGGUGCGUAGGUGGUUGGGUAAGUUUGAGGUGAAAGCUCCGAGCCUAACUCGGAAAAUGCCUUGAAGACUAUCUGACUAGAGGAUUGGAGGGGAGAUUGGAAUUCUCGGUGUAGCAGUGAAAUGCGUAGAUAUCGAGAGGAACACCAGUGGCGAAGGCGAAUCUCUGGACAAUUCCUGACACUGAGGCACGAAAGCCAAGGGAGCAAACGGGAUUAGAUACCCUGGU